Molecule: long non-coding RNA, 617 nt
Organism: Rosa rugosa (rugosa rose)
Lineage: Eukaryota; Viridiplantae; Streptophyta; Magnoliopsida; Rosales; Rosaceae
Exons: 4
Source: RefSeq, a predicted model, not a curated record
CUCAUCAUAGAGAUCUGGUUGCCUACAAUGUGUAAGAUAUGAAUUAGAUGCUGUUGGUUAUUAACCUUGCUAAUAUCAGAAUAGAGGCCUAGACCACUUUUCUCACCGCCAUGAUGGUCGACCUCCCUCACUAGUACUCCUUGCACAGUGGAGGGAAUUCAUUUACUAAGCGCAGCUCAGCAGUCAUAAUAUGCAUAAUGAGGCCAGGCAAGCCAGAUAUCAAAAAGUGAAAAGUCAACAUUCAACAUUGAACCAUCAUUUUCAGAACCAAGCAAUUGGAUGUUGAUAGCUGAACUCAGAGCACAAAGGUGCAAGUAUUUCUUACCUUCCAAGCAUUUUCAAGACUCUGAUCUGUGUUAUCUGUAUUAACCUUCAUAGCCAAUGAGCUGAGCAAUUCUGCUUGCUGCAUCAAAGCAGUUAUCUUUGGAUCAUCCUUCUUGAGAAAUGAGCCUUGAAACUUGUUAGUUUGUGCUGCUGAUAAAUGAAAGUUGUUUACAUUGUGGAUAUUCUGAAUCAACACAGUAAAUGGAGCUCUUAGCUGCUGAUUAGUCUUUCCACAUUGCCCAUGUCGUCUGUCACCAUAGUUGCAAUUUUCCGAGAGACUAGGGAUAUGGCUC